Molecule: long non-coding RNA, 291 nt
Organism: Oreochromis aureus
Lineage: Eukaryota; Metazoa; Chordata; Actinopteri; Cichliformes; Cichlidae
Exons: 3
Source: RefSeq, a predicted model, not a curated record
GGUGAGUUGUUUGUUGCUGUGGUAAACAAAGAAGUGUACUGAAUCUUUUGGACUACACAGAGUGAUGUAGUAUUGACUGUGAUGCUGAUUUGAGUUGUCUCAUUCUGUAUUUUUGUGCUUUGUCUUUUGUUACACAGAGUGAAAGAGAUCUUUGGUUUUGCCUUUGCUGACUGCUGAUCUGAUCGUCUCAAGUCUGGUGACCUGCUGCAGAAAACCCUCUCCUCUAUCGUUGACAAGCAAUUGACAAGCAAUUUCAGUCUGUCCUAUCACUCUCCCUCUCCCUGCUCCAUC